Molecule: ribosomal RNA, 495 nt
Filed under: uncultured bacterium
Lineage: Bacteria
Description: bacterial SSU rRNA
Rfam family: Bacterial small subunit ribosomal RNA
Source: RNAcentral
GAUGAACGCUAGCGGCAGGCUUAACACAUGCAAGUCGAGGGGCAGCACGUCUUCGGAUGGUGGCGACCGGCGCACGGGUGCGUAACGCGUAUACAAUCUACCUUUUACAGGGGCAUAGCCCGGGGAAACCCGGAUUAAUAUCCCAUGGUAUCAUUUAGUGGCAUCACUUGAAUGAUUAAAGUUUCGGCGGUAAAAGAUGAGUAUGCGUUCUAUUAGCUAGAUGGUAAGGUAACGGCUUACCAUGGCUACGAUAGAUAGGGGUCCUGAGAGGGAGAUCCCCCACACUGGUACUGAGACACGGACCAGACUCCUACGGGAGGCAGCAGUGAGGAAUAUUGGACAAUGGGCGAGAGCCUGAUCCAGCCAUGCCGCGUGCAGGAAGACUGCCCUAUGGGUUGUAAACUGCUUUUAUACGGGAAGAAACACCUCCACGUGUGGAGGCUUGACGGUACCGUAUGAAUAAGGAUCGGCUAACUCCGUGCCAGCAGCCGCGGU